UACGAAGGGGGCUAGCGUUGUUCGGAAUCACUGGGCGUAAAGCGCACGUAGGGGGAUGUGCCAGUCAGGGGUGAAAUCCCGGAGCUCAACUUCGGAACUGCCUCUGAUACAGCACGUCUUGAGUCCGGAAGAGGUGGGUGGAAUUCCUAGUGUAGAGGUGAAAUUCGUAGAUAUUAGGAAGAACACCGGUGGCGAAGGCGGCCCACUGGUCCGGUACUGACGCUGAGGUGCGAAAGCGUGGGGAGCAAACAGG
This 253-nucleotide ribosomal RNA is filed under the name uncultured bacterium. RNAcentral describes it as "partial 16S ribosomal RNA". It matches the Rfam family "Bacterial small subunit ribosomal RNA", at positions 524 to 776 of the family's 1533-position model. The record is from RNAcentral.